This 478-nucleotide ribosomal RNA is filed under the name uncultured bacterium. Its description in RNAcentral is "bacterial SSU rRNA". It matches the Rfam family "Bacterial small subunit ribosomal RNA", at positions 50 to 507 of the family's 1533-position model. The record is from RNAcentral.
AAUACAUGCAAGUCGAGCGGAAUGAUGAAGAAGCUUGCUUCUUCUGAUUUUAGCGGCGGACGGGUGAGUAACACGUGGCAACCUACCUUGUAGAUUGGGAUAACUCCGGGAAACCGGGGCUAAUACCGAAUAAUCCAUUUUGCUUCAUGGCGAGAUGUUGAAAGACGGUUUCGGCUGUCACUACAAGAUGGGCCCGCGGCGCAUUAGCUAGUUGGUAGGGUAAUGGCCUACCAAGGCGACGAUGCGUAGCCGACCUGAGAGGGUGAUCGGCCACACUGGGACUGAGACACGGCCCAGACUCCUACGGGAGGCAGCAGUAGGGAAUCUUCCACAAUGGACGAAAGUCUGAUGGAGCAACGCCGCGUGAGUGAAGAAGGUUUUCGGAUCGUAAAACUACUGUUGUAAGGGAAGAACACGUACGAGAGUAACUGCUCGUACCUUGACGGUACCUUAUUAGAAAGCCACGGCUAACUACGUG